This 253-nucleotide ribosomal RNA is filed under the name uncultured bacterium. Its description in RNAcentral is "partial 16S ribosomal RNA". It matches the Rfam family "Bacterial small subunit ribosomal RNA", at positions 524 to 776 of the family's 1533-position model. The record is from RNAcentral.
UACAGAGGGUGCAAGCGUUAAUCGGAAUUACUGGGCGUAAAGCGUGCGUAGACGGUUACAUAAGUCAGGUGUGAAAGCCCCGGGCUCAACCUGGGAAUUGCAUUUGAGACUGUGUAGCUAGGGUGCGGAAGAGGGAAGCGGAAUUUCCGGUGUAGCGGUGAAAUGCGUAGAUAUCAGGAGGAACACCGGUGGCGAAGGCGGGUCUCUGGGCCGAUACUGACGCUGAGGAGCGAAAGCGUGGGGAGCGAACAGG